AACUAACGCUGGCGGCGUGCCUAACACAUGCAAGUCGUACGAGAAAGUUGGCUUCGGCUGAUGAGUAAAGUGGCGCGCGGGUGAGUAACGCGUGGAUAAUCUGCCUUUUAGUUGGGAAUAACGUACCGAAAGGUGCGCUAAUACCGGAUAAUACUGCAUAACUACUGUUGUGUAGUCAAAGAAGGCCUCUGUUUACAAGCUUUUGCUGAAAGAUGAGUCCGCGUACCAUUAGCUAGUUGGUAGGGUAAUGGCCUACCAAGGCUACGAUGGUUAGCUGGUCUGAGAGGAUGAUCAGCCACACUGGAACUGAGACACGGUCCAGACUCCUACGGGAGGCAGCAGUGAGGAAUAUUGCGCAAUGGGGGCAACCCUGACGCAGCAACGCCGCGUGAGUGAGGAAGGUUUUCGGACCGUAAAGCUCUGUCGAGCGGGAAGAAAUGUAUCGUGGCUAAUAUCCAUGAUAUUUGACGGUACCGCUAAAGGAAGCACCGG
RNAcentral lists this ribosomal RNA (492 nucleotides) under uncultured bacterium. RNAcentral's name for it is "bacterial SSU rRNA". It matches the Rfam family "Bacterial small subunit ribosomal RNA", at positions 29 to 496 of the family's 1533-position model. The record is from RNAcentral.